AGGUGGCCUAGUGGUUUAAUGCAUUCGGGUCUCACCGCUGCGACCAGAGCUCCAACCCCGGCUCUGAACUCAAGGACUUUUCUAGGUUCAGGUCUCGAUUUGAAUUUAUCGCUGUAAGUGGGUUGAACUUGUUUCUCCUGUGCUUCCAGUCUCAAGUUUUAAAGGGGAAGUUAAAGAACCCGUGUGCUAGUCGUAAAAGUGGGUAAUUGCUCCCGGUGCCACGGCCUAUCUAUCUAUCUCUCACUGGACUCAGAGGACAAAGAGCCACCACGUGGAAGAGCCUCAAUUGGUUGCUCCAUUGUCGCCAGCAGCGCCGCUGACACCAGAUACAGUGUCCAUCACAAAGCCAGUCUUGGUGUCCGCCAGCACUGACCCAGCGUCUGCCCCGGCAGCCCCGACUGCAGACGAGAAAGAAAAGGAGGAGAAGAAGAAAGAGAAGCGCUCAGUCAGUCCAUCCAUGAAAAAAGUCAUACCCAGCUUUAUAAAGCGAUGGGUCGGGAUCCAGUAUUAAAGGGAUUGUCUUGUCAGCAUGUUUUGAGAGAAAAGCGAUCGUGAUGUCUCACGCGCGUGCCAUGAUCGCGAUCGUGAGUCUGAUCGUGUUUAUUUGUGUGAUAGUAAUCGUGACUGUGAUUGCCCAUUACCGGAGAUACCACUGGUCGAUAAUCGAGAAUUGAGAGAUUGAAGUUGCUAUCACGUGCCGUUCAUUGAACCAGAGUUCAAGAUUAUGGUCACGUGUAUUGAGUUGAGCCAAAAACUUUUGUUUCCUGUGCUCAAAUCAGAAUUCCACAACAUUUAAAUAACGAAAAACGGGGAUCUAAAAAAGCGCGAGGAAAACAGCGCACACCCCCCAAACUCCUAUCUCGAAAACAUUCUACAGGCUAGUUCUCUAUAGAGGAAAGAGGAAUAAGUACUAUAACAAGCUCUAUGGAAGCCAGGGGAACAAGUACGAAACAAAAAAUGACAUUUUAUGCAAGAAGUAUAGCUGCUGAUAUAUUAAUCAUAGAGUUAAGCUUAAAGCUGUAAUGAUUCAGUGAUACCUCUAUUAAGCAACCAACCCUAUUUAAAGUAUACAUUAUACAAAGUGCAUUAUACAAAAUACUUUCUAUCCUCUAAGACGAGCCACUUUCCCUGGCCCGAGGGUGACCACUUAAUAAAGCUACCACUGUUACCAAUGCAAUUUUUCAUAUUUGAAAUAAAAAGUUUUAGAAAA
This is a long non-coding RNA of Nematostella vectensis (starlet sea anemone), 1210 nucleotides long. RefSeq lists it as uncharacterized. The transcript is spliced from 2 exons. The record is from RefSeq and is a predicted model, not a curated record. Lineage: Eukaryota; Metazoa; Cnidaria; Anthozoa; Actiniaria; Edwardsiidae.